This 217-nucleotide unclassified non-coding RNA is filed under the name rhizosphere metagenome. RNAcentral describes it as "partial ribosomal RNA internal transcribed spacer region". The record is from RNAcentral.
GUAGGUGAACCUGCGGAAGGAUCAUUACAGUGUUCCCUGCCCUUCACGGGUAGAAACGCCACCCUUGUGUAUUAUUAUCAUGUUGCUUUGGCAGGACGCCCUCGGGCACCGGCUUCGGCUGGCUCGCGCCUGCCAGAGAACCCCAAACUCUGAAUGUUAGUGUCGUCUGAGUACUAUCUAAUAGUUAAAACUUUCAACAACGGAUCUCUUGGUUCUG